UGGGGGAUAUUGCACAAUGGGCGAAAGCCUGAUGCAGCGACGCCGCGUGGGGGAUGAAGGCCUUCGGGUUGUAAACUUCUUUUGCUCUGAACAAGGCAUGCUAAUGGGUGUGUUGAGUGUAGGGGUUGAUUAGCGCCGGCUAACUACGUGCCAGCAGCCGCGGUAAUACGUAGGGCGCGAGCGUUGUCCGGAAUUAUUGGGCGUAAAGGGCUUGUAGGUGGCUGGUUGCGUCUGUCGUUAAAGCUCAUGGCUUAACUGUGGGUUUGCGGUGGGUACGGGCUGGCUUGAGUGCAGUAGGGGAGGCUGGAAUUCCUGGUGUAGCGGUGGAAUGCGCAGAUAUCAGGAGGAAUACCGGUGGCGAAGGCGGGUCUCUGGGCUGUUACUGACACUGAGGAGCGAAAGCAUGGGGAGCGAACAGG
RNAcentral lists this ribosomal RNA (419 nucleotides) under bacterium. RNAcentral's name for it is "partial 16S ribosomal RNA". It matches the Rfam family "Bacterial small subunit ribosomal RNA", at positions 355 to 776 of the family's 1533-position model. The record is from RNAcentral.